Molecule: ribosomal RNA, 482 nt
Filed under: uncultured bacterium
Lineage: Bacteria
Description: partial 16S ribosomal RNA
Rfam family: Bacterial small subunit ribosomal RNA
Source: RNAcentral
AUUGAACGCUGGCGGCAUGCUUUACACAUGCAAGUCGAACGGUAACAGGCCGCAAGGUGCUGACGAGUGGCGCACGGGUGAGUAAUGCAUCGGAACGUGCCCAGUCGUGGGGGAUAACUACUCGAAAGAGUAGCUAAUACCGCAUACGAUCUAUGGAUGACAGCGGGGGACCGUAAGGCCUCGCGCGAUUGGAGCGGCCGAUGUCAGAUUAGGUAGUUGGUGGGGUAAAGGCGCACCAAGCCAACGAUCUGUAGCUGGUCUGAGAGGACGACCAGCCACACUGGGACUGAGACACGGCCCAGACUCCUACGGGAGGCAGCAGUGGGGAAUUUUGGACAAUGGGCGCAAGCCUGAUCCAGCAAUGCCGCGUGCAGGAAGAAGGCCUUCGGGUUGUAAACUGCUUUUGUACGGAACGAAACGGCUCUGGUUAAUACCCGGGGCUAAUGACGGUACCGUAAGAAUAAGCACCGGCUAACUACGUG